RNAcentral lists this ribosomal RNA (253 nucleotides) under uncultured bacterium. RNAcentral describes it as "partial 16S ribosomal RNA". It matches the Rfam family "Bacterial small subunit ribosomal RNA", at positions 524 to 776 of the family's 1533-position model. The record is from RNAcentral.
UACAGGGGGUGCAAACGUUGCUCGGAAUUAUUGGGCGUAAAGCGCGCGUAGGCGGCUACUUAAGUCGGAUGUGAAAGCCCCUGGCUCAACUGGGGAAGUGCACCCGAAACUGAGUAGCUUGAGUGCAAAAGAGGGCCGCGGAAUUCCCGGUGUAGAGGUGAAAUUCGUAGAUAUCGGGAGGAACACCGGUGGCGAAGGCGGCGGCCUGGGUUGACACUGACGCUGAGAAGCGAAAGCAUGGGGAGCGAACAGG